GGAGGGUUGCCGGAGCGGCCGAUCGGGACGGUCUUGAAAACCGUUGACGCCCGCUAGGGCGUCCAUGGGUUCGAAUCCCAUACCCUCCGCCA
RNAcentral lists this transfer RNA (92 nucleotides) under Bifidobacteriaceae bacterium. Its description in RNAcentral is "tRNA-Ser". It matches the Rfam family "tRNA". From Rfam's summary of the family: Transfer RNA (tRNA) molecules are approximately 80 nucleotides in length. Their secondary structure includes four short double-helical elements and three loops (D, anti-codon, and T loops). Lineage: Bacteria; Bacillati; Actinomycetota; Actinomycetes; Bifidobacteriales; Bifidobacteriaceae. The record is from RNAcentral.